This 253-nucleotide ribosomal RNA is filed under the name uncultured bacterium. RNAcentral's name for it is "partial 16S ribosomal RNA". It matches the Rfam family "Bacterial small subunit ribosomal RNA", at positions 524 to 776 of the family's 1533-position model. The record is from RNAcentral.
UACGUAGGGUGCGAGCGUUGUCCGGACUUAUUGGGCGUAAAGAGCUCGUAGGCGGUUUGUUGCGUCGGCCGUGAAAACCUGCAGCUUAACUGUGGGCCUGCGGUCGAUACGGGCAGACUUGAGUUCGGUAGGGGAGACUGGAAUUCCUGGUGUAGCGGUGAAAUGCGCAGAUAUCAGGAGGAACACCGGUGGCGAAGGCGGGUCUCUGGGCCGAUACUGACGCUGAGGAGCGAAAGCGUGGGGAGCGAACAGG